This 203-nucleotide long non-coding RNA is filed under the name Elaeis guineensis (African oil palm). Its description in RNAcentral is "long non-coding RNA (EGUI_LNC038424)". The record is from RNAcentral. Lineage: Eukaryota; Viridiplantae; Streptophyta; Magnoliopsida; Arecales; Arecaceae.
UCAUGCUAUUGUAUUAACUUGUGUACUUAUCUUGAAAAAAGAAUUUGCUUGCAGUGCCUCCCAAAUACCCAAAUGCGAAGAGGUCGGAAUAGAAUAGGAACAAAAAAAAUGAUAGAAGUUUGAAUAGAAAGAAAUAAUUGCUUAAACAAAAGAUUGAAAAUGGGCUUGGCUAAUCGAGGCAUACCAAGCUAAGUCAACUUGAG